AUGAAAAUGGCGAGGGCCCUGCUUGUCGCCCUUCUUCUUGUCUCGUGCUUUGUGGCGCUUGGCCUGUCCGGCCGCGCCGAUGCGGCGGCCGAGAGGAAGACCGUCGGUGUCUACGAGCUCAACAAGGGGGAUUUCUCCAUCAAGGUCACCAACUGGGGUGCCACCCUCAUGUCCGUGAUUCUCCUCGACUCGAGAGGAAACUUUGGGGAUGUGAUCCUGGGCUACGAUACGGUUGCUGAAUACAUGAAUGGCACCGCCUACUUCGGAGGGCUGAUCGGCCGCGUCGCCAACAGAAUCGCCAACGCCCGGUUCACGCUGGACGGGAAAACCUACCGGCUGGUUCCCAACGACGGCAACAACACGCUGCACGGUGGUCACCGGGGAUUCGACAAGGUCGUGUGGACGGUGAAGGAGCAUGUCGCCGGCGGCAGCUCGCCCUUCAUCACUCUCUACUACCAUAGCUUCGACGGAGAGCAAGGGUUUCCGGGCGACGUGGACGUGCACGUGACGUACCAACUCUCGAGCCCGCACGUGCUGAGCGUGCGCAUGAACGCGACGGCACGGGGCAAGGCCACCCCAGUGAACCUGGCGCACCACGCCUACUGGAACCUCGGCGGCGACGGCAGCGGCAACGUCCUUGGCGAGGAGGUCCGCCUCUUCGCCUCCCGGUACACGCCUGUGGAUGCCUCGCUCAUCCCGACGGGCCGCAUGGCGUCCGUGGCUGGCACACCCUACGACUUCCGCACGCCGGCCGCCGUGGGCUCGCGCAUCGGCGGCCUCCUGAGCCGGGGCGUCAACGGGUACGACAUCAACUACGUCGUCGACGGCAGGGGCCUGCGCCCGGUAGCGGUCGUCCGGGACGGCGCGUCCGGCAGGGCGAUGGAGCUGUGGGCGGACCAGCCCGGGGUGCAGUUCUACACGGCCAACGGGCUCAGCGGGGUGAGGGGGAAGGGUGGCAAGGUCUACGGCCACUACGGCGCGCUCUGCCUGGAGACGCAGGGGUUCCCCGACGCCGUGAACCGCCCGAGCUUCCCGUCGCAGAUCGUCCGGCCGGGGAAGGUGUACAAGCAUGACAUGGUGUUCAAGUUCUCCUUCUAG
Molecule: ribosomal RNA, 1098 nt
Filed under: Triticum aestivum (bread wheat)
Lineage: Eukaryota; Viridiplantae; Streptophyta; Magnoliopsida; Poales; Poaceae
Description: partial small subunit ribosomal RNA
Source: RNAcentral